RNAcentral lists this ribosomal RNA (500 nucleotides) under uncultured bacterium. RNAcentral describes it as "partial 16S ribosomal RNA". It matches the Rfam family "Bacterial small subunit ribosomal RNA", at positions 28 to 507 of the family's 1533-position model. The record is from RNAcentral.
GACGAACGCUGGCGGCGUGCUUAACACAUGCAAGUCGAACGGGUCUGCCCUGUUUUUUGCGGGGUGGGUCAGUGGCGAACGGGUGAGUAACACGUGAGUAACCUGCCCCUCACUUCUGGAUAACCGCUUGAAAGGGUGGCUAAUACGGGGUGUUCUGGCUGUGCCGCAUGGUGUGGCUGGGAAAGAUUCACUUUUGUGGUGUUUUGGUGGGGGAUGGGCUCGCGGCCUAUCAGCUUGUUGGUGGGGUGAUGGCCUGCCAAGGCUUUGACGGGUAGCCGGCCUGAGAGGGUGGGCGGUCACACUGGGACUGAGAUACGGCCCAGACUCCUGCGGGAGGCAGCAGUGGGGGGUAUUGCACAAUGGGCGGAAGCCUGAUGCAGCGACGUCGCGUGAGGGAUGGAGGCCUUCGGGUUGCGAACCUCUUUCGCCGGUGAAGAAGGUCCUGCUCUUUGUGGUGGGGUCGACGGUAGCCGGGUUAUGAAGCGCCGGCUAACUACGUG